UCAGUAACAGACCAAAAUACUGAUCAAAGUCCAACUCGGUGAACCCAUGAAUGUAUUGGAGUUGCUCACAGGAAUAUGGGUUGAGAGUUGCUCACAGGAGCCGCUCUGACUCAAAAGUCCCACCCCAGUAUGGGUGACUCCAGAAAGCGGGAGUCCUGGGGUUUUCUGUAGGACUGCAAGUAGAGGCCGGAGGUUGACACUGUGUGUCCUUCUCUAUGGGUCUCCACUGAAAGCUUGAGUCAAUCUUCCACGGAACCUGAUGCUCACUGAUUGGCUAGACUGUUCAUGGGCUCCCAAGGAAGAGGACUGUUCUGACUGGAAUGUGACGUGUCAGCCACAGGCUCAUAUGUUCGGACUCUUGGUGCCAGCUCACGGUGUUGUUUAGAGAGGACACACGUCCCUGGGGUGUGGGAUUUACUGAUGGAAGUACAUGACUGGGAACUGGACUUUGGAGGUUCUAUCUGCCUCUGGUUCUAGUCCCUUAUGUCAGGUCUACCUCACAACAAGGAAUGUAGCGAAUGCAGUAACUCUAGCUCAAGGAUUUGGGUCUCAGACUAAAGAAAACCUGCCAAUGCGAAAUGAUUCUCAUCCGCUGAAGAUUCUGGCUCCGUUGCAUGAUUCCCCAGCGUGAGCCUUGCAGAUGACAGUGUUGUGUUGCAGUGACACAAAGGUAUUGAAACUACCUCAACCCUGGGCUCGGAGCUGCAGGCUGACAGAGGGAAGCAGAGGCCUUUGCUUGGUGACUGGGAGACAUUGCAGAUGCUUCUGGCAGAUGUCUGGGCACAGAGGCUUUCAGAGAGAUGCUGGGUGCUCAGAGAGUGCUGACGCGGGGAAGCCUCUGAAGAAACCUCCUCCGGACUGGCUUCCGACCAAAGCUUCAAGACUCUCCUUCCUUCUAUCUCCAAUAUCUGCCCUUUACCACACAGAGAAUGACACUUAAUACAUCUUUUCCCUGGGGGCUGUCAUCCUGCUCUGGUCCUGUACUCUAAAGGCCUUAAAGUUGUGUAUUUUAAACCACUCUCUGCCAGGGCUCAUAAAACCAGGCCUGCAGAUCCCCCAACCUGCUCUGUGCUGCUCUAACAAGAACAGAGAACAUGAACAACAUACAUUUCUUUCUCAUUGUUCAGGAGGUUGGGACGUCUAUGAUAAGUCUGGCGUUUGGCAAGGGCUAUGGCUUAUUGUCACAUGAUGGAAUACCACCCACUUAUGCAGGACUUUAGAAUGAUGGGGUCUUUCUCAGCCCACAUAUACUUGACCCCUGGGACUCAGGUACCAGACGGUCAGUCACCAGUGACAGAAGUUGGCCUGCAAUAGUGAUUUCAAGUUCAUUGUCUCACAUCAACGAGGGAUAAAGUGGGGACCAGGGAGAAGUGGGCAAACAAGAAGUGUUUUUUUGUUUGUUUGUUUUUUUGUUUUUUUUUUUUUGUUUUUUGUAAGGAAAGUUAAAGAACAAAGAGAACAUGAAGGAAAAAGAGGGGUAACUGUUAGCAUUCUGUCUAAGCUCUGCCCCACAGUUACCUGGCAACAGCCAGGUAGGUCUGGCCCACUAUAAAAGGGG
Molecule: long non-coding RNA, 1558 nt
Organism: Mus musculus (house mouse)
Lineage: Eukaryota; Metazoa; Chordata; Mammalia; Rodentia; Muridae
Product: predicted gene, 30331
Exons: 5
Source: RefSeq, a predicted model, not a curated record